CCUACGGGCGGCAGCAGUGGGGAAUAUUGGACAAUGGGCGAAAGCCUGAUCCAGCCAUGCCGCGUGUGUGAAGAAGGCCUUCGGGUUGUAAAGCACUUUCAGUGGGGAAGAAAGCCUUGGGGCUAAUACCCUCGAGGAAGGACAUCACCCACAGAAGAAGCACCGGCUAACUCCGUGCCAGCAGCCGCGGUAAUACGGAGGGUGCGAGCGUUAAUCGGAAUUACUGGGCGUAAAGCGCGCGUAGGCGGUCUGAUAAGCCGGUUGUGAAAGCCCCGGGCUCAACCUGGGAACGGCAUCCGGAACUGUCAGGCUAGAGUGCAGGAGAGGAAGGUAGAAUUCCCGGUGUAGCGGUGAAAUGCGUAGAGAUCGGGAGGAAUACCAAUGGCGAAGGCGGCCUUCUGGACUGACACUGACGCUGAGGUGCGAAAGCGUGGGUAGCAAACAGGAUUAGAUACCCUAGUAGUC
This 465-nucleotide ribosomal RNA is filed under the name Vreelandella stevensii. Its description in RNAcentral is "partial 16S ribosomal RNA". It matches the Rfam family "Bacterial small subunit ribosomal RNA", at positions 338 to 795 of the family's 1533-position model. The record is from RNAcentral. Lineage: Bacteria; Pseudomonadati; Pseudomonadota; Gammaproteobacteria; Oceanospirillales; Halomonadaceae.